Molecule: ribosomal RNA, 497 nt
Filed under: uncultured bacterium
Lineage: Bacteria
Description: partial 16S ribosomal RNA
Rfam family: Bacterial small subunit ribosomal RNA
Source: RNAcentral
GAUGAACGCUGGCGGCGUGCCUAAUACAUGCAAGUCGAGCGAACAGAUACGGAGCUUGCUCCUUUGACGUUAGCGGCGGACGGGUGAGUAACACGUGGGUAACCUACCUAUAAGACUGGAAUAACUCCGGGAAACCGGGGCUAAUGCCGGAUAACAUUUAGAACCGCAUGGUUCUAAAGUGAAUGAUGGUUUUUCUAUCACUUCUAGAUGUACCCGCUCCGUAUUAGCUAGUUGGUAAGGUAACGGCUUACCAAGGCAACGAUACGUAGCCGACCUGAGAGGGGGGUCGGCCACACGGGAACUGAGACACGGUCCAGACUCCUACGGGAGGCAGCAGUAGGGAAUCUUCCGCAAUGGGCGAAAGCAUGACGGAGCAACGCCGCGUGAGAGAUGAAGGUCUUCGGAUCGUAAAACUCUGUUAUGAGGGAAGAACAAAUGUGUAAGUAACAGUGCACGUAGUGACGGUACCUAAACAGAAAGCCACGGCUAACUACGUG